UAUCAUCUCAUCAUACAUUUUAAGAGUUCCACUAGUGGAGAAAUCACCUUUACAAAAUCCAACAUUUCAACUUCAUAGAGUAGGGUUGAAUUUAACAGAGUGAAUUUGAGAGUCAUAAUAUGCAACCUGACAGGGUUCGGUAGGGUCUCGGGUUAAAGGAAUUUCUCACCAAAAACCUAAACGAUUAUAUAUGAAAUUACAAAAACACCCUUGAUAUUUCUAAUUAUUUUUAUUUUUACCUUAAUAUAAAUAGAAUAAGAAUAAAAUUAGGUUCCAGUGCUUCACCAUUCCAUUAUAGUUUUAUUUGUUUUGGGUAUUUGAAUAUUUGCAUUUUCUAAUAUUUAUUGUUCGUUGUGUAUGCUUCAAAAUUCUUUCAUAAUGGCCAUUAGUUUUGUGAUAAUUUUGUUAGAACUUAUUUAAAAGGAUAACGUGUUUAUUUAUAGGUUGGUAAUACAAAAGCAAACUGGCAAGCGGAUAGGUGGAUAGGGUUUGGGGUUAUUUUUCUCGAGACGGGGCGGGGAGGAUUUUGUAAGGAGGGUUCUCCGAACCAAACUUACUCGUUGCCAUCCUUAAAUAUACACUUAACAUUGAUAAUUAAGUGAUUUUUAUAUCGUAAUAAUACUUGAUGUAUUCGCAUAGUCUCUUCAGUGUGUGGGAAAGAAAUAAAAUUGGUGUAUGUAAUUUCAUUGUAAUAUAUGUAUAGUAAACCUUUUACUACACACUUUAAAACAUGCCUAUGAGUGUACGGUGUGCUAUGAUGUAUCACAAUUGAGUACACACCCACUUGUAUUCAAUUUGUGGAAGCUUCAUAUUUCUCAUUCCAGAUACAGUUCUGAUUUUGGCAACAUCAUUCGACUCACAGGAACUAAACAAGAAGAUAAUUUUCAGAUAAACAAGUUCGGAAUAAAUUAAUAAAAAAAAACUUAGUUACGAAUGAACCAUACUACUUUAAGGCCCUAUUUGGUAAUACUUAAACGCAUAGUUAUUAGAAUCGGAUCGGAUAUUGAACCGGUCAAGCCACCGGUUCAACGGUUUACUGGUUCAACCACGGUUCAAUCGGUUCAACCGAUCUUAUAAUUAAUAAAUAAUAAAAAUAUUUUUUUUUUACCCCUUUAACUACUAUGUAAGUGUUUGAACGUUAAUUAUGAAAAAACAAAAUAUUUAAAAUAUAAAAUAUUACAUGAAAUCUUACAAUUGCAACUUUUAUAUAUAAUUUCAAAUACUCUUAGAAAGAAAAUUGGCCAAAUGGGUGUAAAUUAUAUAUCUUCUAUCGUGAAUAAUAAUAAUAGUAAAAAUAUUAUAUUAAUAAGAAAAUAUAAAAAAUUCAAAAUUCAAAAUUUCAAUUCAAAUUUUUAGGGCUAAACUGCAAAAAUUAAAAUUAUAAUUUUUCUGUUAAAAAUCGGCCGGUUCAACCGGUUAAAAAAUCGGCCGAUACGAUAAAAAAAUAGUUGGUUCAAUCCAGUUCACUUACAUUUUCGAUAAAAUAGUUGUACCAAACUGGUUCAGUGCCCGGUUCCCGGUUGAACCAGCCAGUUCGGUCCGAUUUUGAUAACUAUGCUUAAAAGUUAUGUUUUUUUUGUUUUUUUUGUUUUUAUAGUUUUACUUUAGUUAAAAAUAAACAAAAAAAAAAUAAAAAGCAAAAAAGCAAUUCUAAUUAAUGUUUUUGCUUAUAAAUUUAAAAAAACAACGAAAAACUGAUACAAACCGUGCCUAAGUUUAAUAAAUUACACUUGACUUUGUAUUAACCACCAGGUCCACCACCACCUUUCGUACAAGGAAACACGACGAAAUUAACAAACAAGCAGAAAGGAAAUGAACAAGAGUGAUUCAAGCUUCCAUCUGAAUCCUUUGGAAAAAAAUUCACAAAACAAAAAAAUCCUUGAAAUUCAAAUGGGAUCACAACACAACACAUCUCUUCGGAACGC
Molecule: long non-coding RNA, 1925 nt
Filed under: Actinidia chinensis (golden kiwifruit)
Lineage: Eukaryota; Viridiplantae; Streptophyta; Magnoliopsida; Ericales; Actinidiaceae
Description: long non-coding RNA (ACHI_LNC007206)
Source: RNAcentral